This 304-nucleotide unclassified non-coding RNA is filed under the name uncultured fungus. RNAcentral describes it as "partial contains 5.8S ribosomal RNA, internal transcribed spacer 2, and large subunit ribosomal RNA". The record is from RNAcentral. Lineage: Eukaryota; Fungi.
AACGCACCUUGCACUCUCUGGUCUUCCUGAGAGUACACCCGUUUGAGUAUCAUUGUACCCUCACAUCUCUACUUUGAGAUUGUGGAUGUGGACGUUGCUCUGAAUUAUAUUCAUAGCUCGUCUGAAAUAAAUGAGUACAGUCCCGUGCUGGCAGAGGUACUUGGUGUAAUAAUCUAUCUCACCAUAGUUCUUCCUCGUCUUGUCAUGUCUCGGUACCAUUCUGUGCUAUCCAACCGUCUUCUUUCAUAGACAAUCCUUUUGACAAUUUGAUCUCAAAUCGGGUGGGAUUACCCGCUGAACUUAA